AACUAUUCUCGGCUCUUGCAUAGAUGAAGAACAUAGUGAAAUGAGAUACUUGGUGUGAAUUGCCGAAUCCUGUGAAUCAAUGCGUCUUUGAACACAAGUUGUGCCCGAAGCCAUUGGGCCGAGGGCACAUCUGCCUGGGCAUUA
RNAcentral lists this ribosomal RNA (144 nucleotides) under Solanum tuberosum (potato). Its description in RNAcentral is "rRNA 5_8S_rRNA". It matches the Rfam family "5.8S ribosomal RNA". Rfam says of the family: 5.8S ribosomal RNA (5.8S rRNA) is a component of the large subunit of the eukaryotic ribosome. It is transcribed by RNA polymerase I as part of the 45S precursor that also contains 18S and 28S rRNA. Lineage: Eukaryota; Viridiplantae; Streptophyta; Magnoliopsida; Solanales; Solanaceae. The record is from Rfam by way of RNAcentral.